AUGGCUCUGCUCGUAGUGCUUUCCCUCGUCACCUUUUUCUGCUCCAACAGACGGCGAGCGGCGCAGAGCUCGUGGCGGCAGGGCGUGGUCGACAUCGAGCUCGGGCACGGCAGGUGCGUCGCUGCCACCGCCGCGGAGCUCGACGAGGCCGUCCUGGCCACGUGCUCAACGACGGUGUACUCCUCGUCGACCCAGCAUCAGGCGGCAGCUACCGGUGAGCGGACUGCAAAGGAGGAGGAGCGCGGGUGCGCGGUGUGCCUGGCGGAGUACGCUGACGGCGACGAGCUGCGGGUGCUGCCCGGCUGCGCGCAUGCGUUCCACCGGCGGUGCGUGGACCAGUGGCUCCGGCAUCGGCCCAGCUGCCCGCUGUGUCGCACGUCGCCCCAGAGCACCACCGGUGCAUGCUAA
Molecule: ribosomal RNA, 408 nt
Filed under: Triticum aestivum (bread wheat)
Lineage: Eukaryota; Viridiplantae; Streptophyta; Magnoliopsida; Poales; Poaceae
Description: partial small subunit ribosomal RNA
Source: RNAcentral